CGGACGGGUGAGUAACGCGUGGAUAACCUGCCGUAUACCGGGGGAUAACACUUAGAAAUAGGUGCUAAUACCGCAUAAGCGCACGGCUCCGCAUGGGCAGUGUGAAAAACUCCGGUGGUAUACGAUGGAUCCGCGUCUGAUUAGCUAGUUGGCGGGGUAACGGCCCACCAAGGCAGCGAUCAGUAGCCGGCCUGAGAGGGUGGACGGCCACAUUGGGACUGAGACACGGCCCAAACUCCUACGGAAGGCAGCAG
RNAcentral lists this ribosomal RNA (254 nucleotides) under uncultured bacterium. RNAcentral's name for it is "partial 16S ribosomal RNA". It matches the Rfam family "Bacterial small subunit ribosomal RNA", at positions 99 to 354 of the family's 1533-position model. The record is from RNAcentral.